CUGCACCAAGUCGGGUCCCCCGUCGAGACUGGGGAUCACCGCCAUCUGGUGCAGUUCCAGCCCGAGGGCUUCGGCUUCCUUGCGGAGCCGGUCCUGUAAUGCCUUGAUCUUGUCAAGCGGGUUGUCCACGUCUUGCCCUUCUCUCGUCGCCGUUCGCUAGCUCAUAUCCGCGUCCGGUAAGAACACGUCCAGAUGAGGUGCGUUCGAUAAUCUGCUUUUGGAUCAGGUCGAUUUCCAGCAUCUCGAUCGCUCCGAUGG
This 258-nucleotide unclassified non-coding RNA is filed under the name uncultured fungus. RNAcentral's name for it is "sequence contains ITS1". The record is from RNAcentral. Lineage: Eukaryota; Fungi.